UACGUAGGGUGCAAGCGUUGUCCGGAAUUAUUGGGCGUAAAGAGCUCGUAGGCGGUUUGUCGCGUCUGCUGUGAAAUCUGGGGGCUCAACCCCCAGCCUGCAGUGGGUACGGGCAGACUAGAGUGCGGUAGGGGAGAUUGGAAUUCCUGGUGUAGCGGUGAAAUGCGCAGAUAUCAGGAGGAACACCGGUGGCGAAGGCGGGUCUCUGGGCCGAUACUGACGCUGAGGAGCGAAAGCGUGGGGAGCGAACAGG
This 253-nucleotide ribosomal RNA is filed under the name uncultured bacterium. RNAcentral describes it as "partial 16S ribosomal RNA". It matches the Rfam family "Bacterial small subunit ribosomal RNA", at positions 524 to 776 of the family's 1533-position model. The record is from RNAcentral.